RNAcentral lists this long non-coding RNA (228 nucleotides) under Homo sapiens (human). RNAcentral describes it as "non-protein coding lnc-TMEM106C-4:1". The record is from RNAcentral. Lineage: Eukaryota; Metazoa; Chordata; Mammalia; Primates; Hominidae.
ACCUCCUCACCACCACACUAACCAUGAUCUUCACCCUCCUUCCUCACCCCUACCACCAGUUACUGUGGUGUCGAUAUGGAAGCAGGGGCUACCAGGAGGGGACAACAUAAAGCCAGCCUGUGUGUGCCUGUCCAAGUGAGUGAGGGGAUGUGAGAUGGUCUCAAGCUCUGGCGAAAGGCCUCCUCACCUUAUUGGCUGGGGUGUAGGAUGGUACAUGGAACUGAGGGG